Molecule: ribosomal RNA, 238 nt
Filed under: uncultured bacterium
Lineage: Bacteria
Description: partial 16S ribosomal RNA
Rfam family: Bacterial small subunit ribosomal RNA
Source: RNAcentral
CGUUAAUCGGAAUUACUGGGCGUAAAGCGCGCGUAGGCGGCUUUGCAAGCCGGAUGUGAAAUCCCCGGGCUUAACCUGGGAACUGCAUUCGGGACUGCAUUGCUAGAGUAUGGGAGAGGGAAGUGGAAUUUCAGGUGUAGCGGUGAAAUGCGUAGAUAUCUGAAGGAACAUCAGUGGCGAAAGCGACUUCCUGGACCAAUACUGACGCUCAUGUGCGAAAGCGUGGGGAGCAAACAGG